GAGGAAUCGGCAGCUACCAUGCAGUCGACGGCAGCGGGAAGGAGCUUGCUCCUUUGCCGGCGAGUGGCGCACGGGUGCGUAACGCGUAUACAACCUACCUUAUACAGGGGUAUAGCCCAGGGAAACUUGGAUUAACACCCCAUAGUAAUAUGUUUUGGCAUCAUUACAUAUUUAAAACUACGGUGGUAUAAGAUGGGUAUGCGUCCCAUUAGCUUGUUGGUGUGGUAACGGCACACCAAGGCAACGAUGGGUAGGGGCCCUGAGAGGGGGAUCCCCCACACUGGUACUGAGACACGGACCAGACUCCUACGGGAGGCAGCAGUGAGGAAUAUUGGACAAUGGGCGGGAGCCUGAUCCAGCCAUGCCGCGUGCAGGAAGACUGCCCUAUGGGUUGUAAACUGCUUUUAUACGGGAAGAAACCCACCUACGUGUAGGUGGCUGACGGUACCGUAAGAAUAAGGACCGGCUAACUCCGUGCCAGCAGCCGCGGUAAUACGGAGGGUCCGAGCGUUAUCCGGAAUCAUUGGGUUUAAAGGGUCCGCAGGCGGCCAGAUAAGUCAGUGGUGAAAUUCCGUGGCUCAACCACGGAACUGCCAUUGAUACUGUUUGGCUUGAAUCAGUUCGAGGAUGCCGGAAUGUGUGGUGUAGCGGUGAAAUGCAUAGAUAUCACACAGAACACCAAUUGCGAAGGCAGGUGUCCAGAACUGUAUUGACGCUGAUGGACGAAAGCGUGGGUAGCGAACAGGAUUAGAUACCCUGGUAGUCCACGCCGUAAACGAUGGUCACUAGCUGUCCGGACUUAGGUCUGGGUGGCCAAGCGAAAGUGAUAAGUGACCCACCUGGGGAGUACGUUCGCAAGAAUGAAACUCAAAGGAAUUGACGGGGGCCCGCACAAGCGGUGGAGCAUGUGGUUUAAUUCGAUGAUACGCGAGGAACCUUACCAGGGCUUAAAUGCAUUAUGACAGGGGUGGAGACACCCUUUUCUUCGGACAUUUUGCAAGGUGCUGCAUGGUUGUCGUCAGCUCGUGCCGUGAGGUGUU
RNAcentral lists this ribosomal RNA (1040 nucleotides) under Croceibacter sp. ZYFB006. RNAcentral's name for it is "bacterial SSU rRNA". It matches the Rfam family "Bacterial small subunit ribosomal RNA", at positions 39 to 1076 of the family's 1533-position model. The record is from RNAcentral. Lineage: Bacteria; Pseudomonadati; Bacteroidota; Flavobacteriia; Flavobacteriales; Flavobacteriaceae.